Molecule: ribosomal RNA, 492 nt
Filed under: uncultured bacterium
Lineage: Bacteria
Description: partial 16S ribosomal RNA
Rfam family: Bacterial small subunit ribosomal RNA
Source: RNAcentral
AGUGAACGCUGGCGGUAGGCCUAACACAUGCAAGUCGAACGGCAGCACAGUAAGAGCUUGCUCUUACGGGUGGCGAGUGGCGGACGGGUGAGGAAUACAUCGGAAUCUACUUUUUCGGGGGGGAUAACGUAGGGAAACUUACGCUAAUACCGCAUACGCCCUACGGGUGAAAGCAGGGGAUCUUCUGACCUUGCGCGAUUGAAUGAGCCGAUGUCGGAUUAGCUAGUUGGCGGGGUAAAGGCCCACCAAGGCGAGGAUCCGUAGCUGGUCUGAGAGGCUGGUCGGCGACACUGGAACUGAGACACGGUCCAGACUCCUGCGGGAGGCAGCAGUGGGGAAUAGUGGACAGUGGGCGCAAGCCUGAUCCAGCCAGACCGCGUGGGUGAAGAAGGCGUUCGGGUUGUAAAGCCCUCUUGUUGGGAAAGAAAAGCAGCAGGUUAAUACCCCGCUGUUCUGACGGUACCCAAAGAAUAAGCACCGGCUAACUUCGUG